CGGACGGGUGAGUAAUGCUUGGGAAUCUGGCUUAUGGAGGGGGAUAACUACGGGAAACUGUAGCUAAUACCGCGUAAUAUCUUCGGAUUAAAGGGUGGGACUUUCGGGCCACCUGCCAUAAGAUGAGCCCAAGUGGGAUUAGGUAGUUGGUGGGGUAAAGGCCUACCAAGCCGACGAUCUCUAGCUGGUCUGAGAGGAUGACCAGCCACACUGGAACUGAGACACGGUCCAGACUCCUACGGGAGGCAGCAGUGGGGAAUAUUGCACAAUGGGGGGAACCCUGAUGCAGCCAUGCCGCGUGAAUGAAGAAGGCCUUCGGGUUGUAAAGUUCUUUCGGUGAUGAGGAAGGCGGUUGUUUUAAUAGAACAAUCGAUUGACGUUAGUCACAGAAGAAGCACCGGCUAACUCCGUGCCAGCAGCCGCGGUAAUACGGAGGGUGCGAGCGUUAAUCGGAAUGACUGGGCGUAAAGGGCACGCAGGCGGUGACUUAAGUGAGAUGUGAAAGCCCCGAGCUUAACUUGGGAAUUACAUUUCAUACUGGGUCGCUAGAGUAUUUUAGGGAGGGGUAGAAUUCCACGUGUAGCGGUGAAAUGCGUAGAGAUGUGGAGGAAUACCGAAGGCGAAGGCAG
This 629-nucleotide ribosomal RNA is filed under the name uncultured Actinobacillus sp. Its description in RNAcentral is "bacterial SSU rRNA". It matches the Rfam family "Bacterial small subunit ribosomal RNA", at positions 99 to 724 of the family's 1533-position model. Lineage: Bacteria; Pseudomonadati; Pseudomonadota; Gammaproteobacteria; Pasteurellales; Pasteurellaceae. The record is from RNAcentral.